AAGUCAUAACAAGGUUUCCGUAGGUGAACCUGCGGAAGGAUCAUUAGUGAUUUGGCCGAGAGGCCCUUAUCCAAUCCUCACACCUGUGAACAACUUGUCGGUGGGCUCACGCCCGCCGGACAAACCAAUACAUAUACUAUGUGUAAUGAACGUCAAUGUAUAACAAACAAACAAAACUUUCAACAACGGAUCUCUUGGCUCUCGCAUCGAUGAAGAACGCAGCGAAAUGCGAUAAGUAAUGUGAAUUGCAGAAUUCAGUGAAUCAUCGAAUCUUUGAACGCACCUUGCGCCUCUUGGUAUUCCGAGAGGCAUGCCUGUUUGAGUGUCAUGAAACCUCAAUCCCCGACGGUUUUCUUCCGGACGGCGGACUUGGACCUGGGCGCCUGCCUCUCGAGGCUCGCCUCAAAUGACUUAGUGGGGACUUCUUCUGCCUACGCCUGACGUGAUAAGUUUCGUCUGGGCCGGCGUCGAGGCCCGCUCACAACCCACCAUACACUUUUGACAUUGACCUCAAAUCAGGUAGGGCUACCCGCUGAACUUAA
RNAcentral lists this ribosomal RNA (542 nucleotides) under uncultured fungus. RNAcentral describes it as "eukaryotic LSU rRNA". The stretch from base 175 to 328 matches the Rfam family "5.8S ribosomal RNA". The record is from RNAcentral. Lineage: Eukaryota; Fungi.